GAUGAACGCUGGCGGCGUGCCUAAUACAUGCAAGUCGAGCGAACAGACGAGGAGCUUGCUCCUCUGACGUUAGCGGCGGACGGGUGAGUAACACGUGGAUAACCUACCUAUAAGACUGGGAUAACUUCGGGAAACCGGAGCUAAUACCGGAUAAUAUAUUGAACCGCAUGGUUCAAUAGUGAAAGACGGUUUUGCUGUCACUUAUAGAUGGAUCCGCGCCGCAUUAGCUAGUUGGUAAGGUAACGGCUUACCAAGGCAACGAUGCGUAGCCGACCUGAGAGGGUGAUCGGCCACACUGGAACUGAGACACGGUCCAGACACCUACGGGAGGCAGCAGUAGGGAAUCUUCCGCAAUGGGCGAAAGCCUGACGGAGCAACGCCGCGUGAAUGAUGAAGGUCUUCGGAUCGUAAAACUCUGUUAUUAGGGAAGAACAAAUGUGUAAGUAACUAUGCACGUCUUGACGGUACCUACUCAGAAAGCCACGGCUAACUACGUG
Molecule: ribosomal RNA, 497 nt
Filed under: uncultured bacterium
Lineage: Bacteria
Description: partial 16S ribosomal RNA
Rfam family: Bacterial small subunit ribosomal RNA
Source: RNAcentral